UGUCACCUUAAGAGCCGUUGAAGACUACGACGUUGAUAGGUUGGAUGUGGAAGUGUAGCGAUACAUGAAGCUGACCAAUACUAAUUGCUCGUGAGGCUUGACUAUACAACACCCAAACAGUUG
This 123-nucleotide ribosomal RNA is filed under the name Acinetobacter sp. ACNIH3. RNAcentral describes it as "partial 23S ribosomal RNA". The stretch from base 1 to 105 matches the Rfam family "Bacterial large subunit ribosomal RNA", at positions 2821 to 2925 of the family's 2925-position model. The record is from RNAcentral. Lineage: Bacteria; Pseudomonadati; Pseudomonadota; Gammaproteobacteria; Moraxellales; Moraxellaceae. RNAcentral also lists the same sequence under 1 other name.